Molecule: small RNA, 163 nt
Filed under: Oryza sativa Japonica Group (Japanese rice)
Lineage: Eukaryota; Viridiplantae; Streptophyta; Magnoliopsida; Poales; Poaceae
Description: sRNA Os12g0608666
Source: RNAcentral
GAAUGGCCAAAGGUCGAACCUCAGGUAGCAGCUGUACCCCUUAAUGUUGCCAGCGCUUUGGUUGGUGUAGUACUGGCCGAGGUCGUCAACGUACCUCUUCAGGCACUUCUGGCACUCGCUCCCGCUAGGUCCCUCGUGCACUGCGCCAGCCCGUACAACCGCG